Molecule: long non-coding RNA, 1770 nt
Filed under: Leptinotarsa decemlineata (Colorado potato beetle)
Lineage: Eukaryota; Metazoa; Arthropoda; Insecta; Coleoptera; Chrysomelidae
Description: uncharacterized LOC111510315
Source: RNAcentral
AAGAAAACGAUUGUUUUUUUUUUCAGAAAAAAUUGAUCCUGUUACCAUCCAACCUUUUUUCAGUAAAAAUUUUGCUGAUAACUGAUAAUUGAAAUUACGUGUUACAAGACUACACUCCCUUGAUUCUCUCGAGUAACCUGUGCAACUUUGGCCUGUCAGCUGUAAGUGACGUUACUUCAGCUGUGCACGACUUUUCCACCUCUGUUUUGAACCUGAUUUGGCCUGAGGAUCUGCAAAGCAGAUCUGAACAUUUUUUCCUGAUUCAGAUUCUGCUUCUGCUGUUCAAGAAUUUGAGACAAAGGCAGAUUCAUGAAGAAUCCCUCUUUCGAAGAGUACCCUGAAGAAAAUCCUGCUGCCAUGACAAAUAACUCAGGAAAGAAUGAAAAAGUUGACCUAAGGUUGGAAAUGCCGGCCAUAAACACGCAGGGAUCAGAUCAUAGCCCUGUAACUGUUACAACAUCCAUAAGUAGACGACCUGCAGAAGACAGUACUCUGGAGUACGCUUAUGAUAACCCAGCAAUGACACCUUCCCGGUGAAUUUGUUUGUGAACUUCAAGAAUGUUUUUUUGUGUCUUCAGCCUUUUCUUUUCAUUUUAUCUGAUGCAAGAUAAGUUAUUUUCAUUUCAAGAGAAAUACGUAGUUUUUAUUAACUAUGCUUGAUACUCAAAUGAUAUAAAUUUUUCCCAAAUAACUGAAUAUGAGAAAAUAUAUGAAGUUGGAAACGGAAUCAGAAGAAGAGAAAAUAGUUCGUGACAAAGAUUUCUUUUCAAAUUCCAUGUAACACCGUUAUUGAUUUAAUUCAUUGAAGUACCUUCAUAAUGAAAAUUUGUAAUAAAAUAUUUUCUCUGUAAAAGCAACAAUUAAAAUAUAUCUAAAUUAUAAACUAUGAUAUCUCAUAGAAAUUUUUAUGGAAAAAUAGGUGUAAUUUCUACUGUACUAGUAUUGGACGAAAUUUGUUUAUUGUGAAUAUUGUAUUGAUUCGUGUUUUCCAAUGAUAGAGAAUCAUUUGAUAUUAAUUAGGUAGUAGAAAGUUGAAAUUAUCCUUCUUCAUCACAGAAUUUGUGCAAUAUUUUUGACACUUUUUCAUUCAUUUCACAUCAUAUUCAUCAAUGUACUUAAAUACUAGUCAAUAAUGUACUGAAAGUUAUUAUCACUUGGUGUUUAAACAUUCAUUCUACAGUGUGUGUAUCAUCUAACAUCCAUUAGAAAUUGGAGGUGAAGGAGUGCAGUUUCCAAAUUACAUCUCAUUUUGAAGUUCCAAUGAAUCUGGCUCCUUUACGUUAUUCACCAAUAUACUGGGAACUUACUAGAAAUCGAAAUAUGAUCUUUCUAAAGUAUCUAUUUCCGAAGAUAACUCUGUUGAAGGAUCUGCUCCACCCAGACUUUCUCCAACUCGUUUGAUCAUUUCUCAGUAGUUCAGUUAUACCAAGGAAGAAGUCAAAGAAAGGUCUAUCUGACCAUUGUGGUGACCAAUUAUUAGAAAGACCAGUUUCAUUGGCAGUAUUGAUUACAAUUUUCUAUAUGUGAAUAAUUUCGUUCCUAAGAUUACAGAAAAACUCUAGAAGCCAGUAGUAUUUGAUCUCAAACCAGUUUUCAAUGAGUGGAUAUGUAAUAGAUAAGCAACUGAAAAUGAAAUUCCAUAUCCGUAGAGUUAUAAUCAUCUUUUAGGCUCCGUUAUUUGUUGUGCGAUUUUUUCACGGAAGAUGAACGGAAUGAAAAAAAAUCAUAAACAAACUGACUGGAAGUGGAAGGCAAAAUAUCAUUAUAUUA